This 71-nucleotide transfer RNA is filed under the name Prodigiosinella confusarubida. RNAcentral's name for it is "Serratia sp. ATCC 39006 tRNA". It matches the Rfam family "tRNA". From Rfam's summary of the family: Transfer RNA (tRNA) molecules are approximately 80 nucleotides in length. Their secondary structure includes four short double-helical elements and three loops (D, anti-codon, and T loops). Lineage: Bacteria; Pseudomonadati; Pseudomonadota; Gammaproteobacteria; Enterobacterales; Pectobacteriaceae. RNAcentral also lists the same sequence under 1 other name. The record is from Rfam by way of RNAcentral.
GCGAGCGUAGUUCAAUGGUAGAACGAGAGCUUCCCAAGCUCUAUACGAGGGUUCGAUUCCCUUCGCUCGCU